Long non-coding RNA from Sinocyclocheilus grahami, 357 nucleotides. RefSeq lists it as uncharacterized. Lineage: Eukaryota; Metazoa; Chordata; Actinopteri; Cypriniformes; Cyprinidae. The record is from RefSeq and is a predicted model, not a curated record. The transcript has 2 exons.
GGAGUCAGGCAUGUGACGUAAGCGCGGUGGGCGGUGCGAACGCAAAGCGGAAAAGCUGAUGAAGGUAACACAGGUACGGGACUGUGUGAAGGUGUGUCUGCUGUCGAUGUACAAAUCUUCCCGAUGUUAUAAAGCAGCCAGGCACCUAAUAAUACCUACGCCAGACUGAGCGCGCUGAUCUUUUUCUAAAGAGGACAUCAGGAUGAAGAACGAGGGAGAGGCAACUGAACGGCCUGACAACACGGCAUUCACUCAGCAAUGGCUCCCGGCAUGGCAGCCCAUACUGUCCGCUGGCAUCGUCAUUCCUGGCUUUCUAAUCAUUGGUUUGGCUUUCAUAGGCAUUGGAAUUGGCCUCUU